Molecule: long non-coding RNA, 678 nt
Organism: Canis lupus familiaris (dog)
Lineage: Eukaryota; Metazoa; Chordata; Mammalia; Carnivora; Canidae
Exons: 3
Source: RefSeq, a predicted model, not a curated record
GCGGCGCCGGCGGCCAUCUUGGCCGUCUUGGUAAUCCCGGCCUGGCUCUACGGCGGGGACCGCCUGAGCACCGACCGCCAUUGUGGCGUCGGUAAGGUGGACCUGAUCAGCGUGUCCCCGGGCAGCAGCCUGGAUACGUUCCCUCUCCUCAGUGGUGAGGGUGGUGGUCUGGAGGACAUGCAAGUCAUGCCAGCCCUUUUCUGUAGUCCUCCUGCAAAAGUGGUAAUGCCAAGAGUGAUGCCUUCCCAUUCAAAUCUUUCGUUUCUGGAUCAGGAAUAGAAGAACAUAUAGACCAAUAAAAGGUUGUUCAAGGCCUCUGUCAGCCUACAGCUUUUCUUUAACUCAGGCAAAAGAUCUAGUAGGCAAAGUAUCCAGAGAUGGGGAAUCCAAGCUACCCCUCCAGCAAUAAUGACUCCUCUGGCACCAGCAAGACCCCACUUGAUUGACCCCAAGACAAUGAUGAACCUGACUUUUAUUGCCCAGCUGCACAUACCUACUAACCUUUGUUCCACAUUUUCCUUAUAUAAAUCUAGAAGCUUUUUCAGCAUUUUGAAGACAGACUUUGGGACGCUAGUCCUAAGUCUUCCUGAUAUGCACUUCACUGAAAUAAAUUCUUGUUUCACCACCACUCAUUUUUCUGCUUUUGGAUUUUGUCAAUGGCAAGUGACUUAAUCUGGU